Molecule: ribosomal RNA, 1349 nt
Filed under: alpha proteobacterium IMCC10422
Lineage: Bacteria; Pseudomonadati; Pseudomonadota; Alphaproteobacteria
Description: bacterial SSU rRNA
Rfam family: Bacterial small subunit ribosomal RNA
Source: RNAcentral
GCGGCACGCCUAACACAUGCAAGUCGAACGAAGUAGCAAUACUUAGUGGCAGACGGGUGAGUAACAUGUAGGUAUCUGCCCUUUGGCCUGGAAUAACACGAGGAAACUUGUGCUAAUACCGGAUAAGUCUUUACGGAGAAAGCUUUAUGCACCAUUGGAUGAGCCUGCACUUGAUUAGUUUGUUGGUGGGGUAAUGGCCUACCAAGACUGUGAUCAAUAGCUGAUUUGAGAGGAUGAUCAGCCACAUUGGGACUGAGACACGGCCCAAACUCCUACGGGAGGCAGCAGUGGGGAAUCUUGCACAAUGGAGGAAACUCUGAUGCAGCGAUGCCGCGUGAGUGAAGAAGGCCCUUGGGUUGUAAAGCUCUUUCGUCGGGGAAGAAAAUGACUGUACCCGAAUAAGAAGGUCCGGCUAACUUCGUGCCAGCAGCCGCGGUAAUACGAAGGGACCUAGCGUAGUUCGGAAUUACUGGGCUUAAAGAGUUCGUAGGUGGUUGAAAAAGUUAGUGGUGAAAUCCCAGAGCUUAACUCUGGAACUGCCAUUAAAACUUUUCAGCUAGAGUAUGAUAGAGGAAAGCAGAAUUUCUAGUGUAGAGGUGAAAUUCGUAGAUAUUAGAAAGAAUACCAAUUGCGAAGGCAGCUUUCUGGAUCAUUACUGACACUGAGGAACGAAAGCAUGGGUAGCGAAGAGGAUUAGAUACCCUCGUAGUCCAUGCCGUAAACGAUGUGUGUUAGACGUUGGAAAUUUAUUUUCAGUGUCGCAGGGAAACCGAUAAACACACCGCCUGGGGAGUACGACCGCAAGGUUAAAACUCAAAUGAAUUGACGGGGACCCGCACAAGUAGUGGAGCAUGUGGUUUAAUUCGAAGAUACGCGCAGAACCUUACCAACACUUGACAUGUUCGUCGCGACUCUAAGAGAUUAGAGUUUUCGGUUCGGCCGGACGAAACACAGGUGCUGCAUGGCUGUCGUCAGCUCGUGUCGUGAGAUGUUGGGUUAAGUCCCGCAACGAGCGCAACCCUCACUUUUAGUUGCCAUCAUUAAGUUGGGCACUCUGAAAGAACUGCCAGUGAUAAGCUGGAGGAAGGUGGGGAUGACGUCAAGUCCUCAUGGCCCUUACGUGUUGGGCUACACACGUGCUACAAUGGUAUCUACAACAGGAAGCAAGACUGCGAAGUUAAGCAAAUCCCUAAAAGAUACCUCAGUUCGGAUUGCACUCUGCAACUCGAGUGCAUGAAGCUGGAAUUACUAGUAAUCGUGGAUCAGCGUGCCACGGUGAAUGCGUUCCCGGGUCUUGUACACACCGCCCGUCACACCAUGGGAGUUGGUUCUACCUUAAGGCAAGGUUU